UGGCCAUGGCUCUGCACCCACCACCGAGUCCCAGCACUCAUCAUCCAUCACCAAAGCCCAGCACCCAUCAUCCAUCACCCAUGGCCAUGGCUCUACACCCAUCAUCCACGGCUGCUGCUCCACACCCAUCACCCAUCAUCCAUCACCCUUGGCCAUGGCUCCGCACCCAUCACCCACCACCGAGUCCCAUCACUGAUCACCCAUGACCAUGGCUCCACACUCACCACCAAGGCUCCACACCCAUUGCCCAUCACCAAGGUCCAUCACCCAUGGCCAUGGCUCCGCACCCACCACCCACCACUGAGUCCCAGCACCCAUCACCCACCACCGAGGCCCAUCAUCCAUCACCCAUGGCCAUGGCUCUACAUCCCUCACCCAUGGCUGCUGCUCCACACCCACCACCCAUUACUGAGUCUCAGCACCCAUCACCAAAGCCCACCACCCAUCACUGAGUCCCAGCACCCACCACCCAUCACCCAUGGCCAUGGCUCCACACCCACCACCCAUCACUGAGUCCCA
Molecule: long non-coding RNA, 519 nt
Filed under: Calidris pugnax (ruff)
Lineage: Eukaryota; Metazoa; Chordata; Aves; Charadriiformes; Scolopacidae
Description: lncRNA (ENSCPUG00000014690.1)
Source: RNAcentral